RNAcentral lists this non-coding RNA (45 nucleotides) under Schistosoma margrebowiei. Lineage: Eukaryota; Metazoa; Platyhelminthes; Trematoda; Strigeidida; Schistosomatidae. The record is from RNAcentral.
AUCCAGUUGAUGAAUCUCAAAUAGGUCGAAACCCACGUCCUGGAU